AUUGAACGCUGGCGGCAGGCCUAACACAUGCAAGUCGAGCGAGCGGCGGACGGGUGAGUAAUGUAUGGGGAAUGACCGAUAGAGGGGGAUAACUACUGGAAACGGUAGCUAAUACCGCAUACUAUCGGCUAACCCAUAUGGGAUUAGCUAGUAGGUGAGGUAAUGGCUCACCUAGGCGACGAUCCGUAGCUGGUUUGAGAGGACGACCAGCCACACUGGGACUGAGACACGGCCCAGACUCCGACGGAGGCAGCAGUGGGGAAUUGUCGACAAUGGGGGAAAUCCUGAUCCAGCCAUCCCGCGUGGAUGAUGAAGGCCUUCGGGUUGUAAAGUACUGUUGGCAGAGAAGCGGUAUCUGCAGAAUAAGCACCGGCUAACUACGUGCCAGCAGCCGCGGUAAUUC
RNAcentral lists this ribosomal RNA (403 nucleotides) under uncultured bacterium. RNAcentral's name for it is "partial 16S ribosomal RNA". It matches the Rfam family "Bacterial small subunit ribosomal RNA", at positions 30 to 526 of the family's 1533-position model. The record is from RNAcentral.